Non-coding RNA from Pteropus alecto (black flying fox), 91 nucleotides. NCBI's taxonomy places the organism in Eukaryota, Metazoa, Chordata, Mammalia, Chiroptera, Pteropodidae. The record is from Rfam.
CCUCCCGAGGCAGCUAUCAACAUCUGGGACUGUAGUUGGGGACAGACAUGGGGGUGGGAGCUUGGUCCACGAUGACUCAGCUCUCUUGGGA